Molecule: ribosomal RNA, 899 nt
Filed under: uncultured bacterium
Lineage: Bacteria
Description: bacterial SSU rRNA
Rfam family: Bacterial small subunit ribosomal RNA
Source: RNAcentral
AGGACGAACGCUGGCGGCGUGCUUAACACAUGCAAGUCGAACGAGGAAUAGGGUGCUUGCACCUUAUAACCGAGUGGCGGACGGGUGAGUAACACGUGAUCAACCUGUCUUGGGGCGGGGGACAACCCGGGGAAACCUGGGCUAAUACCGCAUAAUGUCCGAUGUCCGCAUGGACGACGGAUGAAAGGGGGCCUCUGCUUGCAUGCUCUCGCCCAAAGAGGGGAUCGCGGCGUAUCAGCUUGUUGGUGAGGUAAUGGCUUACCAAGGCUACGACGCGUAGCGGGUCUGAGAGGACGACCCGUCACAUUGGGACUGAGAUACGGCCCAGACUCCUACGGGAGGCAGCAGUGGGGAAUAUUGCGCAAUGGCCGAAAGGUUGACGCAGCGACGCCGCGUGUGGGAUGAAGCUCCUCGGAGUGUAAACCGCUGUCAGGGGGGAAGAACGUCGGUUAUGUGAAUACCAUAGCCGAGUGACGGUACCCCCAAAGGAAGCGCCGGCUAACUCCGUGCCAGCAGCCGCGGUAAUACGGAGGGCGCAAGCGUUGUUCGGAAUUACUGGGCGUAAAGCGCGCGCAGGCGGUCCUUUUAGUCCAUUGUGAAACUCCGGGGCUCAACCCCGGACAUGCAUUGGAUACUGGAGGACUAGAGACCGGUAGAGGCUAGCGGAAUUCCUGGUGUAGCGGUGGAAUGCGUAGAUAUCAGGAAGAACACCGGUGGCGAAGGCGGCUAGCUGGGCCGGGUCUGACGCUCAGGUGCGAAAGCGUGGGGAGCAAACAGGAUUAGAUACCCUGGUAGUCCACGCCGUAAACGAUGGGCACUAGGUGCCGGGUCUAUAGACGGAUUCGGUGCCGCAGCUAACGCAUUAAGUGCCCCGCCUGGGGAGUACGGCCGCAAGGCUG